GGGCGGUUAGCUCAGCUGGGAGAGCGCCUGCCUUACAAGCAGGAUGUCGUCAGUUCGAUCCUGGCACUGCCCA
Non-coding RNA from Spirochaetes bacterium GWB1_27_13, 73 nucleotides. The record is from Rfam. NCBI's taxonomy places the organism in Bacteria, Pseudomonadati, Spirochaetota.